CUUUCUAAAGCUCUGAUCAGUCAAGAAGGGGGUUGUAUCAAUCCUCAGAACCCUGAGUGGAACUUUCUACAGGAUUUAUUAGGAGAAAAACCUUCCCGGAAGCUGCAGAAGGACAAAUACAGAAUCCGUGUCUGGGAGAAACCUCGUGGCCUGGUCUCCAUUAUUUGAGAUGAGUUACAUCUUGGAGGCCUGAUCUUUUGGCCAGAAGGAGAUUAAAAAGAUGCCCCUCAAGAUGGCUGUGCCUGUCAGCUGCAUGGAGCUUCGUUCAAGUAUUUUCUGAGCCUGAUGGAUUUACAGUGAUCUUCAGUGGUCUGGGGAAUAACGCUGGUGGAACCAUGCACUGGAAUGACACACGCCCGGCACAUUUCAGGAUACUAAAAGUGGUUUUAAGGGAGGCUGUGGCUGAAUGCCUCAUGGAUUCUUACAGCUUGGAUGUCCAUGGGGGACGAAGGACUGCAGCUGGCUGAGAGGGUUGAGAUCUCUGUUUACUUAGAUCUCUGCCAACUUCCUUUGGGUCUCCCUAUGGAAUGUAAGACCCCGACUCUUCCUGGUGAAGCAUCUGAUGCACGUUCCAUCCGGCGCUCAGCUGGGCUUGAGCUCACGUAGGUGCCUCGUUCAUAAUUUCUCCUUCCCAGUAGAAUCCCAACUACAGAAGAUACAUACAUAAAUGCAAAGCAUGGUCUAGGCAGGUUGGCUCCAGGACUUUGGAG
This 710-nucleotide long non-coding RNA is filed under the name Homo sapiens (human). RNAcentral describes it as "non-protein coding PVT1:61". The stretch from base 225 to 319 matches the Rfam family "Pvt1 oncogene conserved region 3". The record is from RNAcentral. Lineage: Eukaryota; Metazoa; Chordata; Mammalia; Primates; Hominidae.